Olea europaea var. sylvestris is the source of this 868-nucleotide long non-coding RNA. RefSeq lists it as uncharacterized. NCBI's taxonomy places the organism in Eukaryota, Viridiplantae, Streptophyta, Magnoliopsida, Lamiales, Oleaceae. The transcript is spliced from 3 exons. The record is from RefSeq and is a predicted model, not a curated record.
GACGUUACGCUGUAUGGCUUUGCUUGAUCAUCUAGUCAGUCAACGAGACGUAUGUAAUUUGAAGUGGCUAUAAAUGAAAGUUGCAAUUAUGCAGAUAGGAGUAGACAUCAGCAAGCCAACCUCACCUGUGCCGUUGUUUCUGGGCAAAUGCACAGAAAAUAUAGAAAUCCGCUGUCUGUGGGGUUUCUAGCAGUAAAUUUUCAGUCAUCUCAAGUGUGGGAACGAAUGUUCAGAUUUCGGCGGAGACUGUCCAGACUUCUUCCUCGUAUCAUACAAGUCCCCUGCCUAGUCCCAGUGGGAGUUAGGAGUUUACCGACCACGUUCUAAAAAUACGAAAAUGUAAACAUGGGAAGUCACGUAGCCUUACAUCCAGAAUUUACACCGAAAGAGGAGAGGUACGAAAGCAAUUAAAAGAGGGACAGUCCCUCUCUUACAAAGAAUGUAAGAUGGAAGGCUAAAUGGGGGCUUAGUCAAAAUAUCGAUGCCGCACAUACGGCAGAUGGAAGUGGUCCGUUUGAAUAAUCUUGCAGGUUCCCCCUCUAACUUCAAUUGGUUGAAGGAGCAUUUGUCUACCAGAUUCAGCCCCUCAUUGGCUACAAAGUCAAUUUAUUAGUGAAUAACAAGAGUAUUUACUUUUUAUAACACGUUUUCGGCACGAAAACUUAAUUCUUAAAAAAUUGGUGAAUAUAGUAAUUUUUUUAAAGUAUAAUAUCAUUUAUCACGUGUACUGAAAUUAAUAUGAUAACAUGUUAAUUUCUUUUUAUUUAAUAUGCACUAUAAUUGUAUGUCUUGCCUGCACAAUCAUACACAUGAGUUUGUGUACUUAUGAAUAGUCUAGAAUUUUUAACAAUUGGGAAAUUCUUGUGCA